RNAcentral lists this ribosomal RNA (301 nucleotides) under uncultured bacterium. RNAcentral describes it as "partial 16S ribosomal RNA". It matches the Rfam family "Bacterial small subunit ribosomal RNA", at positions 509 to 807 of the family's 1533-position model. The record is from RNAcentral.
CAGCAGCCGCGGUAAUACGAAGGGUGCAAGCGUUAAUCGGAAUUACUGGGCGUAAAGCGUGCGUAGGCGGUUUGUUAAGUCUGCUGUGAAAUCCCCGGGCUCAACCUGGGAAUGGCAGUGGAUACUGGCAAGCUAGAGUGUGUCAGAGGAUGGUGGAAUUCCCGGUGUAGCGGUGAAAUGCGUAGAGAUCGGGAGGAACAUCAGUGGCGAAGGCGGCCAUCUGGGGCAACACUGACGCUGAGGCACGAAAGCGUGGGGAGCAAACAGGAUUAGAUACCCGCGUAGUCCCUGUCUCUUAUAC